Molecule: ribosomal RNA, 2861 nt
Filed under: Salmonella enterica
Lineage: Bacteria; Pseudomonadati; Pseudomonadota; Gammaproteobacteria; Enterobacterales; Enterobacteriaceae
Description: bacterial LSU rRNA
Rfam family: Bacterial large subunit ribosomal RNA
Source: RNAcentral
AGCGUACACGGUGGAUGCCCUGGCAGUCAGAGGCGAUGAAGGGCGUGCUAAUCUGCGAUAAGCGCCGGUAAGGUGAUAUGAACCGUUAUAACCGGCGAUACCCGAAUGGGGAAACCCAGUGUGACUCGUCACACUAUCAUUAACUGAAUCCAUAGGUUAAUGAGGCGAACCGGGGGAACUGAAACAUCUAAGUACCCCGAGGAAAAGAAAUCAACCGAGAUUCCCCCAGUAGCGGCGAGCGAACGGGGAGGAGCCCAGAGCCUGAAUCAGCAUGUGUGUUAGUGGAAGCGUCUGGAAAGGCGCGCGAUACAGGGUGACAGCCCCGUACACAAAAGCGCAUGUGCUGUGAGCUCGAUGAGUAGGGCGGGACACGUGGUAUCCUGUCUGAAUAUGGGGGGACCAUCCUCCAAGGCUAAAUACUCCUGACUGACCGAUAGUGAACCAGUACCGUGAGGGAAAGGCGAAAAGAACCCCGGCGAGGGGAGUGAAAAAGAACCUGAAACCGUGUACGUACAAGCAGUGGGAGCACAGGUUUACCUGUGUGACUGCGUACCUUUUGUAUAAUGGGUCAGCGACUUAUAUUCUGUAGCAAGGUUAACCGUAUAGGGGAGCCGUAGGGAAACCGAGUCUUAACCGGGCGUUAAGUUGCAGGGUAUAGACCCGAAACCCGGUGAUCUAGCCAUGGGCAGGUUGAAGGUUGGGUAACACUAACUGGAGGACCGAACCGACUAAUGUUGAAAAAUUAGCGGAUGACCUGUGGCUGGGGGUGAAAGGCCAAUCAAACCGGGAGAUAGCUGGUUCUCCCCGAAAGCUAUUUAGGUAGCGCCUCGUGAAUUCAUCUCCGGGGGUAGAGCACUGUUUCGGCUAGGGGGCCAUCCCGGCUUACCAACCCGAUGCAAACUGCGAAUACCGGAGAAUGUUAUCACGGGAGACACACGGCGGGUGCUAACGUCCGUCGUGAAGAGGGAAACAACCCAGACCGCCAGCUAAGGUCCCAAAGUCAUGGUUAAGUGGGAAACGAUGUGGGAAGGCCCAGACAGCCAGGAUGUUGGCUUAGAAGCAGCCAUCAUUUAAAGAAAGCGUAAUAGCUCACUGGUCGAGUCGGCCUGCGCGGAAGAUGUAACGGGGCUAAACCAUGCACCGAAGCUGCGGCAGCGAACGUAUCACCCAAGACAACUUUGCGGAGUUGACGAUUGACGGAGCGAAGCGACGUCAAAGCGUUCAUUAAAGUCGAGUUGGCUUAGGGAUACGUUCGUUGGGUAGGGGAGCGUUCUGUAAGCCUGUGAAGGUGGCCUGUGAGGGUUGCUGGAGGUAUCAGAAGUGCGAAUGCUGACAUAAGUAACGAUAAAGCGGGUGAAAAGCCCGCUCGCCGGAAGACCAAGGGUUCCUGUCCAACGUUAAUCGGGGCAGGGUGAGUCGACCCCUAAGGCGAGGCCGAAAGGCGUAGUCGAUGGGAAACGGGUUAAUAUUCCCGUACUUGGUGUUACUGCGAAGGGGGGACGGAGAAGGCUAUGUUGGCCGGGCGACGGUUGUCCCGGUUUAAGCGUGUAGGUGUGUGUUCCAGGUAAAUCCGGUUCACUUUAACACUGAGGCGUGAUGACGAGGCACUACGGUGCUGAAGCAACAAAUGCCCUGCUUCCAGGAAAAGCCUCUAAGCAUCAGGUAACAUCAAAUCGUACCCCAAACCGACACAGGUGGUCAGGUAGAGAAUACCAAGGCGCUUGAGAGAACUCGGGUGAAGGAACUAGGCAAAAUGGUGCCGUAACUUCGGGAGAAGGCACGCUGACACGUAGGUGAAGUGAUUUACUCAUGGAGCUGAAGUCAGUCGAAGAUACCAGCUGGCUGCAACUGUUUAUUAAAAACACAGCACUGUGCAAACACGAAAGUGGACGUAUACGGUGUGACGCCUGCCCGGUGCCGGAAGGUUAAUUGAUGGGGUCAGCGCAAGCGAAGCUCCUGAUCGAAGCCCCGGUAAACGGCGGCCGUAACUAUAACGGUCCUAAGGUAGCGAAAUUCCUUGUCGGGUAAGUUCCGACCUGCACGAAUGGCGUAAUGAUGGCCAGGCUGUCUCCACCCGAGACUCAGUGAAAUUGAACUCGCUGUGAAGAUGCAGUGUACCCGCGGCAAGACGGAAAGACCCCGUGAACCUUUACUAUAGCUUGACACUGAACAUUGAGCCUUGAUGUGUAGGAUAGGUGGGAGGCUUUGAAGCGUGGACGCCAGUCUGCGUGGAGCCAACCUUGAAAUACCACCCUUUAAUGUUUGAUGUUCUAACGUGGACCCGUAAUCCGGGUUGCGGACAGUGUCUGGUGGGUAGUUUGACUGGGGCGGUCUCCUCCUAAAGAGUAACGGAGGAGCACGAAGGUUGGCUAAUCCUGGUCGGACAUCAGGAGGUUAGUGCAAUGGCAUAAGCCAGCUUGACUGCGAGCGUGACGGCGCGAGCAGGUGCGAAAGCAGGUCAUAGUGAUCCGGUGGUUCUGAAUGGAAGGGCCAUCGCUCAACGGAUAAAAGGUACUCCGGGGAUAACAGGCUGAUACCGCCCAAGAGUUCAUAUCGACGGCGGUGUUUGGCACCUCGAUGUCGGCUCAUCACAUCCUGGGGCUGAAGUAGGUCCCAAGGGUAUGGCUGUUCGCCAUUUAAAGUGGUACGCGAGCUGGGUUUAGAACGUCGUGAGACAGUUCGGUCCCUAUCUGCCGUGGGCGCUGGAGAACUGAGGGGGGCUGCUCCUAGUACGAGAGGACCGGAGUGGACGCAUCACUGGUGUUCGGGUUGUCAUGCCAAUGGCACUGCCCGGUAGCUAAAUGCGGAAGAGAUAAGUGCUGAAAGCAUCUAAGCACGAAACUUGCCCCGAGAUGAGUUCU